Molecule: long non-coding RNA, 217 nt
Filed under: Carica papaya (papaya)
Lineage: Eukaryota; Viridiplantae; Streptophyta; Magnoliopsida; Brassicales; Caricaceae
Description: long non-coding RNA (CPAP_LNC001136)
Source: RNAcentral
UGCUGCCCCCGUAGCCUGAGGAGGGGCCUGGAUGGCGGGUCUGGGCCUCUUACUGGGUUGGACAGGCGCGGUAGGUGCUGGCCUGCAGAGCGGGGCUGAGGGUCGGGAACUCCCCGCUAGCUGAGGGUGGGUGUCGAAGCUCCUUUCUAUGAUCUGCGCCUUUGCUAGGACUGCUGAAUAUGUCUCGAGCUCCAUUACCAGUAAGUGCUGUCUGAUC